Antechinus flavipes (yellow-footed antechinus) is the source of this 441-nucleotide long non-coding RNA. RefSeq lists it as uncharacterized. The record is from RefSeq and is a predicted model, not a curated record. The transcript has 3 exons. NCBI's taxonomy places the organism in Eukaryota, Metazoa, Chordata, Mammalia, Dasyuromorphia, Dasyuridae.
GGGACACCUGAUGGGGGGGUACCGGGUUAGGAUUGUGCGCAGGGACACCUGAUGGAGGGGGUACCGGGUUAGGGUUGUGCACAGGGAGACCUUAUGGGGGUACCGGGUUAGGGUUGUGCGCAGGGACACAAUGAGGGUACUAGGUUAGGAUUGUGCGCAGGGACACCUUAUGGGGGUACCGGGUUAGGGUUGUGCGCAGGGACACCUGAUGGUGGGGUACCGGGUUAGGAUUGUGCGCAGGACACCUGAUGGUGGGGUACCGGGUUAGGAUUGUGCGCAGGGACACCUGAUGGGGAGGUACCGGGUUAGGAUUGUGCGCAGGGACACCUGAUGGGGGGGUACCGGGUUAGGAUUGUGCGCAGGGACACCUGAUGGGGGUACCGGGUUAGGGUUGUGCGCAGGAACACGAUGAGGGAACUGGGUUAGGGUUGUGCAUAAAUA